Molecule: ribosomal RNA, 253 nt
Filed under: uncultured bacterium
Lineage: Bacteria
Description: partial 16S ribosomal RNA
Rfam family: Bacterial small subunit ribosomal RNA
Source: RNAcentral
UACGGAGGGUGCAAGCGUUAUCCGGAUUCACUGGGUUUAAAGGGUGCGUAGGCGGGCAGGUAAGUCAGUGGUGAAAUCUCCGGGCUUAACCCGGAAACUGCCGUUGAUACUAUCUGUCUUGAAUAUCGUGGAGGUAAGCGGAAUAUGUCAUGUAGCGGUGAAAUGCUUAGAUAUGACAUAGAACACCCAUUGCGAAGGCAGCCUACUACACGAUCAUUGACGCUGAGGCACGAAAGCGUGGGGAGCAAACAGG